AAGUGGAUAGUGAAACCUGGUGGCUCAACCAUUCAGACUAUUAUCCAAACUGCAAAGCUCGAGAAUGGUAGAGGUAGUUGGAAUUUCGUGUGUAGGAGUGAAAUCCGUAGAUAUACGAAGGAACACCAAUGGCGUAGGCAGACUACUGGACCAUUUUCUGACGCUGAGGCACGAAAGCGUGGGGAGCGAACCGGAUUAGAUACCCGGGUAGUCCCCGCCGUAAACGAUGGAUACUA
RNAcentral lists this ribosomal RNA (236 nucleotides) under uncultured Candidatus Saccharibacteria bacterium. RNAcentral describes it as "partial 16S ribosomal RNA". It matches the Rfam family "Bacterial small subunit ribosomal RNA", at positions 585 to 818 of the family's 1533-position model. Lineage: Bacteria; Candidatus Saccharimonadota. The record is from RNAcentral.